GAUGAACGCUAGCUACAGGCUUAACACAUGCAAGUCGAGGGGAAACGACAUCGAAAGCUUGCUUUUGAUGGGCGUCGACCGGCGCACGGGUGAGUAACGCGUAUCCAACCUGCCCAUCACUUGGGGAUAACCUUGCGAAAGUAAGACUAAUACCCAAUGAUAUCUCUAGAAGACAUCUGAAAGAGAUUAAAGAUUUAUCGGUGAUGGAUGGGGAUGCGUCUGAUUAGCUUGUUGGCGGGGUAACGGCCCACCAAGGCAACGAUCAGUAGGGGUUCUGAGAGGAAGGUCCCCCACAUUGGAACUGAGACACGGUCCAAACUCCUACGGGAGGCAGCAGUGAGGAAUAUUGGUCAAUGGGCGAGAGCCUGAACCAGCCAAGUAGCGUGCAGGAAGACGGCCCUAUGGGUUGUAAACCGCUUUUAUAAGGGAAUAAAGUGAGAGUCGUGACUCUUUUUGUAUGUACCUUAUGAAUAAGGACCGGCUAAUUCCGUG
RNAcentral lists this ribosomal RNA (492 nucleotides) under uncultured bacterium. RNAcentral's name for it is "partial 16S ribosomal RNA". It matches the Rfam family "Bacterial small subunit ribosomal RNA", at positions 28 to 507 of the family's 1533-position model. The record is from RNAcentral.